GAGUCAUUGUGAAGUGGUUAGAAUGUGUGGUGUAGCGGUGAAAUGCAUAGAUAUCACACAGAAUACCAAUUGCGAAGGCAGAUCACUAACAAUAUACUGACGCUCAUGGACGAAAGCGUGGGGAGCGAACAGGAUUAGAUACCCUGGUAGUCCACGCCGUAAACGAUGGAUACUAGCUGUUCGUCUAACAUUGGUUAGAUGAGUGGCUAAGCGAAAGUGAUAAGUAUCCCACCUGGGGAGUACGGUCGCAAGACUGAAACUCAAAGGAAUUGACGGGGGCCCGCACAAGCGGUGGAGCAUGUGGUUUAAUACGAUGAUACGCGAGGAACCUUACCAGGGCUUAAAUGUAUUGGGACAGGUCUAGAGAUAGACCCUUCUUCGGACUCUUGACAAGGUGCUGCAUGGUUGUCGUCAGCUCGUGCCGUGAGGUGUCAGGUUAAGUCCUAUAACGAGCGCAACCCCUAUCGUUAGUCGCCAGCGGGUAAUGCCGGGAACUCUGACGAAACUGCCAGUGC
RNAcentral lists this ribosomal RNA (515 nucleotides) under uncultured Bacteroidota bacterium. RNAcentral's name for it is "bacterial SSU rRNA". It matches the Rfam family "Bacterial small subunit ribosomal RNA", at positions 644 to 1158 of the family's 1533-position model. The record is from RNAcentral. Lineage: Bacteria; Pseudomonadati; Bacteroidota.